AUUGAACGCUGGCGGCAUGCCUUACACAUGCAAGUCGAACGGUAACAGGUCUUCGGAUGCUGACGAGUGGCGAACGGGAGAGUAAUACAUCGGAACGUGCCUAGUAGUGGGGGAUAACUACUCGAAAGAGGGGCUAAUACCGCAUGUGAUCUACGGAUGAAAGCAGGGGAACGCAAGACCAUGUGAUAGUAGAGCGGACGAUGGUAGGUUAGGUAGUUGGUGGGAUAAAAGCUUACCAAGCCGACGAUCUGUAGCUGGUAUGAGAGGCCGAUCAGCCACACUGGGACAGAGACAAGGCCCAGACUCCGACGGGAGGAAGCAGUGGGGAAUUUUGGACAAUGGACGAAAGCCUGAUCCAGCAAUGCCGCGUGCAGGAUGAUGGCCUGCGGGUUGUAAACUGAUUUUGUACGGAACGAAAAGCCCCGGGUUAAUACCCUAGGGUCAUGACGGUACCGUAAGAAUAAGCACCGGCUAACUACGUGCCAGCCGCCGCGGUAA
RNAcentral lists this ribosomal RNA (498 nucleotides) under uncultured bacterium. RNAcentral describes it as "partial 16S ribosomal RNA". It matches the Rfam family "Bacterial small subunit ribosomal RNA", at positions 29 to 523 of the family's 1533-position model. The record is from RNAcentral.